GCAAAUCUGUCACUGGUGUGGUACUCAAAAGUAUGUAUAAGUACCUUCAAGGGACAUAGUACUUUAAAUGUACAUAUUAGUCCCUAAAGUGUAUGUAUUAGUUCCUUUUGAGAGAGUGCUACAUUAGUGUAGAAAGAAUAUACAUCUAAAUAUACUGUAUAUUAAAUUGUAUACACUGUAAACCCUAAUGUUGUCUUUACUUAAUCAAGUAAUGUUGACUAAACAUUACUUAAAAUUUUGCAUUUUGGCCCUGUCACUUAAAAAUAUGAGUUAAUUUAACUUAUUUACCUUCCAAAUGCAUCAACUUAAGAUUUCAAGUGUUGUGAGCUCAAAAUCAUGAUUAAUCCUUUGGAGAAACUCAACAUCAUUCUGUUCUUCCUUUAAUGUGAUUGGUCAUACAAGGAAUUCUGCCUAGCAACAAGAGAACAAAAGCACUGAUUGGUGGAUUACAAAAUUCGUCCUUUUUGACUUCGUCUGUUUGGUUGCUGACACAACAUUUCAAGACGGACGUUUUUCUUCGUGUACUAUGUUGGGUGACGUGAGAUAAGAAGAUGUGGAAAUGUUUGCAUGUUCAACAGAAUUACGGACAAAAAUCUAUAGCAGGGAUUCUAUGAAAACCUGGACAGACACAGUUCAAGGUUCAUGGACCUUUUUAAAACCAGAAGGGGGAUUCCUGGUCAGCACUUGUUGAAGGUUUAACAGCAAAUAGAGGUCCGUAAUUAUUUGUCUUAUUUAACAUAACUUAAAGGUACUGUAUAGUUCACCCAAAAAUGGAAAUUCUGUCACCAUUUACUCACCCGCACUAUUUUAAAGGAAUGUUUGUAACCGAACAAUUUUGGGGCACCAUUGACUUCCUCAGUGUUUCUUUUUAGUAUGUACAUGUCAAUGUUGUCCCAAAACUGCUUGGCUAUAAACAUUCUUCAAAAUAUCUUCCUGUGUUCAGCUGAGCAAAGAAAUGUAUACAGAUUUGGAACAACUUUAGUAAAUGAUAACAUAAUUUUCUAUCAUCCUUUUUAACUACCCUUUUAAAAUUAUUUCAUUUUGUCCACAUGUCAUUUAUUUAAUUUAUAUUUCAUAUCAGUAAUCUUUUAUGUAUGAUAGACAAUCUUAAUUUAAAUCAAAUAUUAUCAUAACAAUGCUUAAAGUAGAUUGGCAUUAAUAGAAUUUCACGUUUUCCUCUAAAGUCAGACCAGCCAACUGAGGUCUGAACCCUUGUUCUUUGAGGACUGCCUGUCAUGCUCGGAGACGAAGACUCUUCUUUCUUCAAGUCAUGUCUAGUGUCUGAACAUCGCGACACUAUCCUUGAUGUGCCAGUGGGGAUCUUAUUUGAGGACACUGAUCUUCAGCCCCCCAACUCCUUGCAUUUGACUUCUUUAAUUGGAAUAAUUCUUGAAGGCCAAGUGGUGAUGGACAAAAUGCAGGACCUCCCACAGGCAAUCUGUCUUCUCUUCGGUCUGAUUUACGCACUAGACCUGAAUUACCCAAAAUCACUCGCCAACACGUUUGAUUUCAUCCAGCAUGUACUAAUGACAAUGGGACAGAAUGCUCUCAAGCCUAGAGUGCAGUCUCUAGCAAACCAGCUCUUUGCUUAAGAAACGCCACUGUGAUACUUUAAUACCACCCUCUGUUUUGGGUUUUCCCCCAUCGAUUUACUCCAUUAUCCAUAUAUGAAGAAUAAAAAGUAUGUUUAAAUAGUUAAAUGCAGUUCUAGAAUUGAUGUGCAGUAUUUAAUUUGGGAUAUUGUUACCAUUGUUACACCUCUGUGGUGUGGUUGUGACCCGGUAAUAUUACCAUUACAGUAUAGUUUGUACUGUAAUAUUGUGAAAUUUGGGCCAAAGACCUCCAAAGACAUGUUCAGUAUGUAUUAGUUUAGUUUGCCGUGUUUGCAGAAAGCUUAAAUGGUGAACUGUAGUAAGACUGUAGUUCUUAUGUUUAGCCUACAUGUUCAGGACAAUAACAAUUGUGAGGUAUAAGAAGUGUAAUUAAGUGCACAGAGUUGUACAAUUGAUGUAAGUGCACUAGUUAAUGUUGAACAUUUUUACUGUUGUUACCACCUUUACAGUGUGGUUAUGACCCAGUAAUAUUUCCACUACAGUUUGUACUGUAAUACUGUGAAACAUUGGUGAAAGACAGUGUUGAGUAUGUUUUAUUUUAGUUCACUAUGUUUGCACAAAGCUUAAACUGUCAAAUCUAAUUAUGUUUACAUUAUGCACAUACAUACUUUACUCAAGUACCACAAUUAUGUUAGUGUUGUACUAUUGAUGUACUACACUAGUUAAUUUUGUUACCACCUAUACAGUGUGGCUGUGACUCAUUUCCAUUACAGUAUAGGGUUUACUGUAUUUUCAUUAAUAUUGUGACAUUUUGUCAAUAAAGUGUCAAAGAUUAAA
Molecule: long non-coding RNA, 2390 nt
Organism: Cyprinus carpio (common carp)
Lineage: Eukaryota; Metazoa; Chordata; Actinopteri; Cypriniformes; Cyprinidae
Exons: 4
Source: RefSeq, a predicted model, not a curated record